This 438-nucleotide ribosomal RNA is filed under the name bacterium FWP8. Its description in RNAcentral is "bacterial SSU rRNA". It matches the Rfam family "Bacterial small subunit ribosomal RNA", at positions 37 to 475 of the family's 1533-position model. The record is from RNAcentral.
ACUUUGCCGCAAGCCCUAACCAUGCCAGUCGAGCGGCAGCACGGGUACUUGUACCUGGUGGCGAGCGGCGCACGGUUGAGUAAUGCCUAGGAAUCUGCCUGGUAGUGGGGGAUAACGCUCGGAAACGGACGCUAAUACCGCAUACGUCCUACGGGAGAAAGCAGGGGACCUUCGGGCCUUGCGCUAUCAGAUGAGCCUAGGUCGGAUUAGCUAGUUGGUGAGGUAAUGGCUCACCAAGGCGACGAUCCGUAACUGGUCUGAGAGGAUGAUCAGUCACACUGGAACUGAGACACCGUCCACACUCCUACGGGAGGCACCACUGGGGAAUAUUGCACAAUGGGCGAAAGCCUGAUCCACCCCUGCCCCGUGUGUGAAGAAGGUCUUCGGCUUGUAAAGCACUUCACCUUGCGAGGAAGGGCACUUACCUAAUCCCUACUU